Molecule: ribosomal RNA, 265 nt
Filed under: uncultured bacterium
Lineage: Bacteria
Description: partial 16S ribosomal RNA
Rfam family: Bacterial small subunit ribosomal RNA
Source: RNAcentral
UGGGUUAGUGGCGGACGGUGAGUAACGCGUGGGUAACCUGCCUUACACAGGGGGAUAACACUUAGAAAUAGGUGCUAAAACCGCAUAAGCGCACAGCUUCGCAUGAAGCGGUGUGAAAAACUCCGGUGGUGUAAGAUGGACCCGCGUCUGAUUAGCUUGUUGGCGGGGUAACGGCCCACCAAGGCGACGAUCAGUAGCCGGCCUGAGAGGGCGGACGGCCACAUUGGGACUGAGACACGGCCCAGACUCCUACGGGAGGCAGCAG